This 440-nucleotide ribosomal RNA is filed under the name uncultured bacterium. RNAcentral's name for it is "bacterial SSU rRNA". It matches the Rfam family "Bacterial small subunit ribosomal RNA", at positions 338 to 775 of the family's 1533-position model. The record is from RNAcentral.
CCUACGGGGUGCAGCAGUGAGGAAUCUUGGUCAAUGGAGGCAACUCUGAACCAGCCACGUCGCGUGAAGGAUGAAGGCCUUACGGGUCGUAAACUUCUUUUUCGGGGGAAUAAACGGGGUCACGGGUGGCCCUUUGCAUGUACCCCGCGAAUAAGGAUCGGCUAACUCCGUGCCAGCAGCCGCGGUAAUACGGAGGAUCCGAGCGUUAUCCGGAUUUAUUGGGUUUAAAGGGUGCGCAGGCGGGUUGUUAAGUCGGUGGUGAAAUCCCGGGGCUCAACCCCUGGCUUGCCAUCGAAACUGGUUACCUUGAGUGUGGGUGAGGCAGGCGGAAUUCGUGGUGUAGCGGUGAAAUGCAUAGAUAUCACGAGGAACUCCGAUCGCGUAGGCAGCUUGCCAUUCCAUAACUGACGCUCAUGCACGAAGGCGUGGGGAUCAAACAG